RNAcentral lists this long non-coding RNA (384 nucleotides) under Triticum aestivum (bread wheat). RNAcentral describes it as "long non-coding RNA (TAES_LNC023650)". Lineage: Eukaryota; Viridiplantae; Streptophyta; Magnoliopsida; Poales; Poaceae. The record is from RNAcentral.
UCCAAAAUGUGAAGGACAGGAAUAAUUUAUAUAAAUAAUAAAUACAAGAAUUCAUAGGUCCAUUCCUACAAUCCAAAGUGCCUCAUAGGAAAAUUCCUAUAGGUUUACCAAUGAGAUUCCUUUGUUCCAAAAAAGAAGAGCUUAACCUCAUGAAAACGGUAGAUAGUCUAUUACAUCUAUUUACAAAUGUGUUUUCUCAAUUUUGACAACUUUCUCAAACGUAGUAAUUCACAACCCCAACAUAAAUAUUCUCUGGCUCCACAGGUGGUCGCUCGAUCACUGUUAUAUUUUCUGUCUCUACAAACUCCCACUUUCCUAGCAGUUGAUGCCACAGGUUUGGAUAUUUGGGCCAGCGAGACGGGUAGUGAAUGGAUCAACACGAAC